CUGAACAGGUAUGUGGUGAAAGCCCGAAGCUAAACUUCGGUAAGCCAUGGAAACCGGACAGCUAGAGUGCGUCAGAGGAACGUGGAAUUCCAUGUGUAGCGGUGAAAUGCGUAGAUAUAUGGAGGAACACCAGUGGCGAAGGCGACGAUCUGGGAAGAAACAGACGCUGAGUCCCGAAAGCGUGGGGAGCAAAUAGG
This 197-nucleotide ribosomal RNA is filed under the name uncultured bacterium. RNAcentral describes it as "partial 16S ribosomal RNA". It matches the Rfam family "Bacterial small subunit ribosomal RNA", at positions 579 to 776 of the family's 1533-position model. The record is from RNAcentral.